This 325-nucleotide ribosomal RNA is filed under the name uncultured eukaryote. RNAcentral describes it as "partial 18S ribosomal RNA". It matches the Rfam family "Eukaryotic small subunit ribosomal RNA", at positions 1470 to 1796 of the family's 1831-position model. The record is from RNAcentral.
CCCUUAGAUGUUCUGGGCCGCACGCGCGCUACACUGAUGCAUUCAACGAGCCUAUCCUUGACCGACAGGUCCGGGUAAUCUUUGAAUCUGCAUCGUGACGGGGAUAGAUUAUUGCAAUUAUUAAUCUUCAACGAGGAAUGCCUAGUAGGCGCAAGUCAUCAGCUUGCGUCGAUUACGUCCCUGCCCUUUGUACACACCUCCCGUCGCUCCUACCGAUUGGGUGUGCUGGUGAAAUGUUCGGAUCGGCCGUUUGUCGCGGUUUCCGCGGCUCGUGGCUGAGAAGUUCAUUAAACCCUCCCACCUAGAGGAAGGAGAAGUCGUAACA